This 73-nucleotide transfer RNA is filed under the name Capra hircus (goat). It matches the Rfam family "tRNA". From Rfam's summary of the family: Transfer RNA (tRNA) molecules are approximately 80 nucleotides in length. Their secondary structure includes four short double-helical elements and three loops (D, anti-codon, and T loops). RNAcentral also lists the same sequence under 1 other name. The record is from Rfam by way of RNAcentral. Lineage: Eukaryota; Metazoa; Chordata; Mammalia; Artiodactyla; Bovidae.
UCCCUGGUGGCUCAGACGGCAAAAGCAUCUUCCUACAAUGUGGGAGACCCAGGUUCAAUUCCUGGGUUGGGAA